Molecule: long non-coding RNA, 690 nt
Organism: Rhodamnia argentea
Lineage: Eukaryota; Viridiplantae; Streptophyta; Magnoliopsida; Myrtales; Myrtaceae
Exons: 3
Source: RefSeq, a predicted model, not a curated record
UGUCGGUAACUGUAGCAAUCUUUGUGUCCUCAGAUUGCUUAUUAUCCCAGUUGCACUCUGAUUAGUUUAGCUUGGUGCACUUCCUGUUCUUAUACUUUUGAUGACCUGCCUUGAUUCCACGAAUUGCCCAUGUUUUCUUUUCUCCUUGAAAUGUUAUUUGUCGUACUUCUAUUGCAGCUUGCACUAUGUCAAAUCGAAAACUAAGUGUACUAACAGUAGGAGGUCUAAAAAUCAGUUCACUCAUUUGGCCUUCCAGUGAUACAGAACUUUUGGUGGCACCAACGCCUUGGACUAUGCCUGGUAGACCUAAAGAGAAAAGGAUAACAGAAGAAGGAGAAUCUGAAAAUGGAUUCGACGCGUCGAGACAAGGCACAGAAAUUACAGGCAAAUUUGUGCUUCAAGCAAGUGCACAACUCAAAAAUUGUCCGUUGAAACAAAAGAAAAUUGAUUAACAGAUAGUCAGACAAAGGGAAACCAAUCCACUUGUCACAGAGAGGCAUCCUAAUAAUGCCACCACUCAAAAGCCUGGAUGGGCAGGCACUCGAGUCAUUUAUCUACUGAGAGAUAUCAACAAUGUUGUGGUCAAUGCUAUGAAGGUGGAUUGCGCAUCUCACAUAUUUAUCACUUCAGUGCGAUUAGAGGAUCAGCUUUAUGGUAGUAAACGAGUUGUUAUGUAAAGAUUUGAAAAUA